UGCAGUCGAGCGGAGAGAGGUAGCUUGCUACUGAUCUUAGCGGCGGACGGGUGAGUAAUGCUUAGGAAUCUGCCUAUUAGUGGGGGACAACAUUUCGAAAGGAAUGCUAAUACCGCAUACGUCCUACGGGAGAAAGCAGGGGAUCUUCGGACCUUGCGCUAAUAGAUGAGCCUAAGUCGGAUUAGCUAGUUGGUGGGGUAAAGGCCUACCAAGGCGACGAUCUGUAGCGGGUCUGAGAGGAUGAUCCGCCACACUGGGACUGAGACACGGCCCAGACUCCUACGGGAGGCAGCAGUGGGGAAUAUUGGACAAUGGGCGCAAGCCUGAUCCAGCCAUGCCGCGUGUGUGAAGAAGGCCUUAUGGUUGUAAAGCACUUUAAGCGAGGAGGAGGCUACUUUAGUUAAUACCUAGAGAUAGUGGACGUUACUCGCAGAAUAAGCACCGGCUAACUCUGUGCCAGCAGCCGCGGUAAUACAGAGGGUGCAAGCGUUAAUCGGAUUUACUGGGCGUAAAGCGCGCGUAGGCGGCUAAUUAAGUCAAAUGUGAAAUCCCCGAGCUUAACUUGGGAAUUGCAUUCGAUACUGGUUAGCUAGAGUGUGGGAGAGGAUGGUAGAAUUCCAGGUGUAGCGGUGAAAUGCGUAGAGAUCUGGAGGAAUACCGAUGGCGAAGGCAGCCAUCUGGCCUAACACUGACGCUGAGGUGCGAAAGCAUGGGGAGCAAACAGGAUUAGAUACCCUGGUAGUCCAUGCCGUAAACGAUGUCUACUAGCCGUUGGGGCCUUUGAGGCUUUAGUGGCGCAGCUAACGCGAUAAGUAGACCGCCUGGGGAGUACGGUCGCAAGACUAAAACUCAAAUGAAUUGACGGGGGCCCGCACAAGCGGUGGAGCAUGUGGUUUAAUUCGAUGCAACGCGAAGAACCUUACCUGGGCCUUGACAUA
Molecule: ribosomal RNA, 938 nt
Filed under: Acinetobacter sp.
Lineage: Bacteria; Pseudomonadati; Pseudomonadota; Gammaproteobacteria; Moraxellales; Moraxellaceae
Description: bacterial SSU rRNA
Rfam family: Bacterial small subunit ribosomal RNA
Source: RNAcentral